Molecule: long non-coding RNA, 212 nt
Organism: Populus euphratica (Euphrates poplar)
Lineage: Eukaryota; Viridiplantae; Streptophyta; Magnoliopsida; Malpighiales; Salicaceae
Exons: 3
Source: RefSeq, a predicted model, not a curated record
UCAUCUAAUAAUUUCUUUUUACGGUGAAUUCCUAAACUUAACACACCAUUUGCCCUUCAUUUUCUAUACACACACACACACACCUUACAAAUUAAUAUAAGAAGGAAAAACGUACAUAAUCCUUGCAUUUUCAUCCCACAUAUGUUUUUCACAAGAAAUUACGAAGACAAUAAUAUUAGAACAGAAAGACAAUAAUAUCAUGAGAGUUUGAU